GCAAUUAGUUGGUUUCUCCUGGUCAUUGAUCAUGACCUCAACCAUAGUUAACUGGCUGUCAAUGUAUUUAAUUGAUUCAUGUGCCUUUGCAAUGAAGCACCCUCUUGCAUUCUCAAGAUGUACUACUACCAUCGGGGCACGCGCAAAACAAAAAAAAACUUAUUUGUCAUAGAUUAAAUGUCCAUUGGAAGAGCAAGCGAUCUACUAUACUAAACAGUUUACAGUGCUUUUGCAAGUGUUUACUGAGAGAAAGUAACCCAGGAAAAACUCUCAAUCGAGCUUAAUGAAACAGGAAAAAAUAGCAAAGAUGUUUAUCAAAAACAACUACAUGAAGA
Molecule: long non-coding RNA, 335 nt
Filed under: Elaeis guineensis (African oil palm)
Lineage: Eukaryota; Viridiplantae; Streptophyta; Magnoliopsida; Arecales; Arecaceae
Description: long non-coding RNA (EGUI_LNC011950)
Source: RNAcentral